GGGUUGCUAACUCAACGGUAGAGUACUCGGCUUUUAUCCGACUAGUUCCGGGUUCGAAUCCCGGGCAACCCA
This 72-nucleotide transfer RNA is filed under the name Roridula gorgonias. Its description in RNAcentral is "tRNA-Lys". It matches the Rfam family "tRNA". From Rfam's summary of the family: Transfer RNA (tRNA) molecules are approximately 80 nucleotides in length. RNAcentral also lists the same sequence under 8 other names. Lineage: Eukaryota; Viridiplantae; Streptophyta; Magnoliopsida; Ericales; Roridulaceae. The record is from RNAcentral.